This 464-nucleotide ribosomal RNA is filed under the name uncultured bacterium. Its description in RNAcentral is "partial 16S ribosomal RNA". It matches the Rfam family "Bacterial small subunit ribosomal RNA", at positions 338 to 795 of the family's 1533-position model. The record is from RNAcentral.
CCUACGGGUGGCAGCAGUAGGGAAUCUUCGUCAAUGGGCGCAAGCCUGAACGAGCAAUGCCGCGUGAACGAGGAAGGUCUUCGGAUCGUAAAGUUCUGUUGAAGGGGAAAAAGAGCGGAGAGAGGAAAUGAACUCCGAUUGAUAUUACCCUUCGAGGAAGUCACGGCUAACUCCGUGCCAGCAGCCGCGGUAAUACGUAGGUGGCGAGCGUUAUCCGGAAUGAUGGGGCGUAAAGGGUGCGUAGGCGGCCUGCUAAGUCUGGAGUGAAAGGUACCGGUGCAACCGGGAUAGGCUCUGGUAACUGGCGGGCUAGAGAGCAGGAGAGGGCGGUGGAACGCCAUGUGUAGCGGUAAAAUGCGUAGAUAUAUGGAAGAACACCAGUGGCGAAGGCGGCCGCCUGGCCUGUUACUGACGCUGAGGCACGAAAGCGUGGGGAGCAAAUAGGAUUAGAUACCCUUGUAGUC